This 759-nucleotide ribosomal RNA is filed under the name uncultured Aggregatibacter sp. RNAcentral's name for it is "bacterial SSU rRNA". It matches the Rfam family "Bacterial small subunit ribosomal RNA", at positions 28 to 776 of the family's 1533-position model. The record is from RNAcentral. Lineage: Bacteria; Pseudomonadati; Pseudomonadota; Gammaproteobacteria; Pasteurellales; Pasteurellaceae.
AUUGAACGCUGGCGGCAGGCUUAACACAUGCAAGUCGAACGGUAACAGGAGAAAGCUUGCUUUCUUGCUGACGAGUGGCGGACGGGUGAGUAAUGCUUGGGAAUCUGGCUUAUGGAGGGGGAUAACGACGGGAAACUGUCGCUAAUACCGCGUAGAAUCGAGAGAUGAAAGUGCGGGACCGCAAGGCCGCAUGCCAUAGGAUGAGCCCAAGUGGGAUUAGGUAGUUGGUGGGGUAAAGGCCUACCAAGCCGACGAUCUCUAGCUGGUCUGAGAGGAUGACCAGCCACACCGGGACUGAGACACGGCCCGGACUCCUACGGGAGGCAGCAGUGGGGAAUAUUGCGCAAUGGGGGCAACCCUGACGCAGCCAUGCCGCGUGAAUGAAGAAGGCCUUCGGGUUGUAAAGUUCUUUCGGUAUUGAGGAAGGUUGUUGUGUUAAUAGCACGACAAAUUGACGUUAAAUACAGAAGAAGCACCGGCUAACUCCGUGCCAGCAGCCGCGGUAAUACGGAGGGUGCGAGCGUUAAUCGGAAUAACUGGGCGUAAAGGGCACGCAGGCGGACUUUUAAGUGAGGUGUGAAAUCCCCGGGCUUAACCUGGGAAUUGCAUUUCAGACUGGGAGUCUAGAGUACUUUAGGGAGGGGUAGAAUUCCACGUGUAGCGGUGAAAUGCGUAGAGAUGUGGAGGAAUACCGAAGGCGAAGGCAGCCCCUUGGGAAUGUACUGACGCUCAUGUGCGAAAGCGUGGGGAGCAAACAGG